CGGACGGGUGAGUAAUGCUUGGGAAUCUGGCUUAUGGAGGGGGAUAACUACGGGAAACUGUAGCUAAUACCGCGUAAUAUCGAAAGAUUAAAGCGUGGGACCUUCGGGCCACAUGCCAUAGGAUGAGCCCAAGUGGGAUUAGGUAGUUGGUGAGGUAAAGGCUCACCAAGCCGACGAUCUCUAGCUGGUCUGAGAGGAUGACCAGCCACACUGGGACUGAGACACGGCCCAG
RNAcentral lists this ribosomal RNA (232 nucleotides) under uncultured bacterium. RNAcentral describes it as "partial 16S ribosomal RNA". It matches the Rfam family "Bacterial small subunit ribosomal RNA", at positions 99 to 334 of the family's 1533-position model. The record is from RNAcentral.